UACAGAGGAGCCAGGCGUUGUCCGGAUUGACUGGGCGUAAAGCGCACGCAGGCGGAUGCGCGCGUGGGGUGUGAAAUCUGGCCGCUUAACGGCCAGGCGCCAUCCCAUACGGCGCGUCUGGAGUGAUGCAGAGGUCGGUGGAAUUGCCGGUGUAGUGGUGAAAUGCGUAGAGAUCGGCAGGAACACCCAGGGGGAAACCAGCCGACUGUGCAUCUACUGACGCUGAGGUGCGAGAGCGUGGGGAGCGAACCGG
Molecule: ribosomal RNA, 253 nt
Filed under: uncultured bacterium
Lineage: Bacteria
Description: partial 16S ribosomal RNA
Rfam family: Bacterial small subunit ribosomal RNA
Source: RNAcentral